RNAcentral lists this ribosomal RNA (408 nucleotides) under uncultured Bacteroidota bacterium. Its description in RNAcentral is "bacterial SSU rRNA". It matches the Rfam family "Bacterial small subunit ribosomal RNA", at positions 99 to 505 of the family's 1533-position model. Lineage: Bacteria; Pseudomonadati; Bacteroidota. The record is from RNAcentral.
CGAACGGGUGCGUAACGCGUAUGCAACUUACCUUAUGCAGGGGGAUAGCCCGUGGAAACGCGGAUUAAUAUCCCAUAGAUCAGUAAUAUCGCAUGGUAUAACUGGUAAAACUCAGGUGGCAUAAGAUGGGCAUGCGUCUGAUUAGCUAGUUGGUAGGGUAACGGACUACCAAGGCGACGAUCAGUAGGGGUUCUGAGAGGAUUAACCCCCACACUGGUACUGAGACACGGACCAGACUCCUACGGGAGGCAGCAGUGAGGAAUAUUGGACAAAGGGCGCAAGCCUGAACCAGCCAACCAGCGUGAAGGACGAAGGCCCUACGGGUAGUAAACUACUUUACUGUUUGAAGAAUAAGCUCGUCGAGACGAGUGAUGCCGGUAGGACAGGAAUAAGAAUCGGCUAACUCCG